AUUGAACGCUGGCGGCAUGCUUUACACAUGCAAGUCGAACGGUAACAGGUUAAGCUGACGAGUGGCGAACGGGUGAGUAAUGCAUCGGAACGUGCCCGAUCGUGGGGGAUAACGCAGCGAAAGCUGCGCUAAUACCGCAUACGAUCUGAGGAUGAAAGCGGGGGACCGUAAGGCCUCGCGCGAUCGGAGCGGCCGAUGUCAGAUUAGGUAGUUGGUGGGGUAAAGGCUCACCAAGCCAACGAUCUGUAGCUGGUCUGAGAGGACGACCAGCCACACUGGGGCUGAGACACGGCCCAGACUCCUACGGGAGGCAGCAGUGGGGAAUUUUGGACAAUGGGCGAAAGCCUGAUCCAGCAAUGCCGCGUGCAGGAAGAAGGCCUUCGGGUUGUAAACUGCUUUUGUACGGAGCGAAAAGGUCUCCUCUAAUACAGGGGGCUCAUGACGGUACCGUAAGAAUAAGCACCGGCUAACUACGUGCCAGCAGCCGCAGUAA
RNAcentral lists this ribosomal RNA (493 nucleotides) under uncultured bacterium. RNAcentral's name for it is "partial 16S ribosomal RNA". It matches the Rfam family "Bacterial small subunit ribosomal RNA", at positions 29 to 523 of the family's 1533-position model. The record is from RNAcentral.